Gossypium arboreum is the source of this 743-nucleotide long non-coding RNA. RefSeq lists it as uncharacterized. Lineage: Eukaryota; Viridiplantae; Streptophyta; Magnoliopsida; Malvales; Malvaceae. The transcript is spliced from 2 exons. The record is from RefSeq and is a predicted model, not a curated record.
GACUGGACGCAAAAAUUUUCAGUUUGAAGUGAAAAUGCGCAUACCCAGCUUACAAAUGGGGUCAACGCGUGAGCUUUCUUGUUUUACCAAAUGACGCCAUUUUUUAACGUUAAAACUAAAAGAAAUUCGAUGGCAAUCUGCCAUUUUCUUUAAUCAAUCAAAGCAAAUCCCUAAUUCUCUCGUUCUUUAACCGAUUCUCAAAGACCAAAUCCUAGCCACUUCAAAAACAAAGAAAAUUCCCACUUUCACUAUUCGGCUGAUUAACACUCUAAAAUCCCCAUCUCAGGCUUCGAUUUCGAAGGAGAUAAGGACUCUGAUGGCUCGUUUUCGAAGAAUCGGUAUAGGAUAUUAGUGGGGUGUACCUUGUAUUUUCGGCCGAACAGACAGCGACGUCACGACAAGAAGCUUCCUGACGUUACAACGACAAACGACAUCGUGAUGACACAAAUGUGGAUUGGUAACGUGUUCCCCACAUAAAUUGGGUUUUUUCCUCAGUUGAACUCUACUAUCUUUUCUUAAUUAAACUCUGAUUACUUUAUUGAUAUUUUAGUCUGAUUAGACCUCUAAUCUUAGCUUAUAAAAGGGGUUAUUGUAUCCUUAUUUUGAUAGGCCAAGUAAGAGGCAAUAAAAGAUGUACUACUACACGGCUUUUCUUUUGGUGUGAUAAGAUGUACUUGCAGAAGAGUUUUGGUAACAAUUUUCGUGAUAAUUAUGAAGAGAAUAUUGUACCCCUUUUGAGAUAA